Psammomys obesus (fat sand rat) is the source of this 1162-nucleotide long non-coding RNA. RefSeq lists it as uncharacterized. The transcript has 3 exons. The record is from RefSeq and is a predicted model, not a curated record. Lineage: Eukaryota; Metazoa; Chordata; Mammalia; Rodentia; Muridae.
UCAGAUUGGCCUGUGGACAUUUCUACAGAGUAUUUUCUUGACUAAGGAUUGAUACAGGAGGGUCCAGGUUGUAGGCGGUGCCAUCCUUAGGUAGGUGGUCCUGGCUGUGUAAGAAAGCAGGCUGAAUAAGGAGAGUGAGCAAGCCAGCAAGCAGCGUUCCUCCAUGGCUUCUGUGUCUGCCUUGAGCUCCUCGCCUUGACUUCAGUGAUGGCCUGUAGCCGGGCAUUUGUGCUGCCGGAGACCUGGCUGGACAUCUCAUUGGCAAGCCACAAGUGACAUGAGCGAGUUUUGCAGAAUUUCAACCGCAUGCGCGGAUUUGGAUAAUGUAUUCUUUCAGAAGCCGGGGCUGAGCUUUAAACAAAGCAUAAUCCUGCCUGCAUAUCAAUUUCCCCAGGAUGGUGGAGAGGGAAAGGGAAAAAAAGCCCAGAACUACAGCGCUUUCUGCAGCCUCAUCUCCACGUGGGGUUUAGCAGUGGGGACUUCCGAGCAGCGUUUGCAGUCUCCUGGUUCAUUAACAGGAGCACAAGGCAGGCAGGGGAAAGGUGGGGAGUGAAUCAUAAAAUAUGAAAGGACUUCCCUGGAAAUUGGCAUCAAUUUGAUUUAUUCAAUCCAGAUCCAGGCUCAACUAUUUGAAAAUAAUUAAAUAGUUGAUACCCGCUGCCACUUCUAAAUGAUGGGAAGGUGGGCUGGGGGGGGGGGGGGGAAUGAAGGAGGUAGGAGGAGGAGGAAUUCGGAUGCCCCAGCCUUCCAGAAGAGGUGAGAGACUUCUCCCUGGGCGCCCUUCUAUAGCUUCCGGUCUCUUCUCCCAGGAUGCUCCUCUCACAGUCCUGCUUCGCCGACCACCGACCACCGUGUGUCAGCACAUAUAAAGGCCCAGACAAGUAUAUCAUCUGAACAUAGUCUGAAGGUUGUUUCACUUCUUCUACUGCUGGGAAUUAGGCUAUAGGCGGUGUUUGUCACAGCCAAGUGACUUUGCCACCAUGUACAUAUCCAGAUGCGUGUGAUCAUUGUGUGCACAGAACUCCCAGCACUGACAACACAAAGUCUCAAUAUGGGACCUGUCAGAAUUUUCUGUAUUGUUGUAAGUAUUACAUUGAAUAACCACAGACCUAUCUGGUAACUUCAACUUGUGUAGCAGGAAAAAUAAACAAAUCUGAAUGAA